Molecule: long non-coding RNA, 214 nt
Organism: Aricia agestis (brown argus)
Lineage: Eukaryota; Metazoa; Arthropoda; Insecta; Lepidoptera; Lycaenidae
Exons: 3
Source: RefSeq, a predicted model, not a curated record
UAUAACUUAGGGCAACCGCACAUUAGAGACACGACAGUUUUUAGACAAUCUUGUUUCACAUAGACGAGUCAGCUUUACGAUUAAAGAAAAACAGUUGUGUCUACCACGCGGCGCAUACCAAGACGAAACUGUUUUGUCUACGAUGACGCAACGCAUACAUCAGACUAGGUACACCGCUUGAUUGUUUUGUCGUUGAUGUGUACAUUUCAAAAGG